This 440-nucleotide ribosomal RNA is filed under the name uncultured bacterium. Its description in RNAcentral is "partial 16S ribosomal RNA". It matches the Rfam family "Bacterial small subunit ribosomal RNA", at positions 338 to 795 of the family's 1533-position model. The record is from RNAcentral.
CCUACGGUGGGCAGCAGUGGGGAAUAUUGCACAAUGGGGGAAACCCUGAUGCAGCGACGCCGCGUGAGUGAAGAAGUAUUUCGGUAUGUAAAGCUCUGUCAGCAGGGAAGAAAAUGACGGUACCUGACCAAGAAGCCCCGGCUAACUACGUGCCAGCAGCCGCGGUAAUACGUAGGGGGCAAGCGUUAUCCGGAUUUACUGGGUGUAAAGGGAGCGUAGACGGCAGGGCAAGUCUGGAGUGAAAGGCGGGGGCUCAACCGCGGAACGGCUUUGGAAACUGUGGAACUGGAGUGCUGGAGAGGCAAGCGGAAUUCCUAGUGUAGCGGUGAAAUGCGUAGAUAUUAGGAGGAACACCAGUGGCGAAGGCGGCUUGCUGGACAGUAACUGACGUUGAGGCUCGAAAGCGUGGGGAGCAAACAGGAUUAGAUACCCGUGUAGUC